Long non-coding RNA from Bactrocera neohumeralis, 1218 nucleotides. RefSeq lists it as uncharacterized. Lineage: Eukaryota; Metazoa; Arthropoda; Insecta; Diptera; Tephritidae. The record is from RefSeq and is a predicted model, not a curated record. The transcript is spliced from 3 exons.
CGCCGAACCGGACGGUCGCCCAGCAUCGCGCAGGAAAAUAGCAGUAAGCAGGGGUAAUCAAUAUAAACAAAUUAACUGCAAGUGCUGAUCAAGCAAUAUCAGCAAAACUCUGCCGCCAAUAACAAUUGCGCCGCUGCCAUCGACACACAGCUAGCUUAGAGUAUUUGGAAGAUAUUUAGUUUUUUCACAUUUUGGAAGUGAAUAAAUAAAGUUUGAAUAAAAUUUAAUGUGUUUAAAUUUAUUCAAAAUUAACUGGCGCCCGAGAAAGGACCAAAGUCAAAGAAGUCAAAGGAUAAAACAUCUUUUCACAACCACCACGGGACCAAACGGGAGAGAUCCAGGCUACAAAGAAGGGCAGCCAUGCAAAAAAUAGCAAUAAUUAUCUUACUUUUAUUAUGGCUGCCAAUAGCAAUGGCAAAUCUAGACGUUACGAACUAUACGGACACGCAUACCAUUAUACUCUAUAAAGGAAUAAGGAAAUUACAGACAUCAUCUAUAAAAUUAAUUCACUUAAUAGAUGUUCAACAAAUAGAAAUUGAACUGCUAAAAAUCCAAGAGCAUACUGUUAAAGAUCUUUGGCUAAAUGAGUUAAGCUUCCCGCCCUCACGCGCCACUACACCACAUAACACACCACUCACAAGCAACACUGGCACCACACAACACCCCACUCACAAGCAACACUGGCACAUACACCACACCUGAAGACAGCAGUUUUCCAACACACCACACAUCCAUUGGAAGCAGCAGAAAACCCCACACACACACCAAUACACGCAGCUGCUAAUCCAUCACCGCCCAACGAGCAAAAAGCUUCGUCCUGGAAGUGAACGGCCCCUUUUCGAUCACGAUUUUCGAUACGCAAACAUCGGCGGACGUUUUAUACUUUUUCACAUUCGGCACGCAGCAAAAAACCAUCUUUUUCAUCUGGCGAUAUUCGACACGCAGCAAAACAUCCUUUUAUAUCUGGCGAUCUUCGGCACGCAGCUCCACCAACUUUUUUUACAUUUGGCGAUCUUCGGUGCAGCAGUUCAAUCACCAUUUUCGAGUGUCUCAUUUUUAUAAUUGUGUGAACUUAAUAAUACAGCCUCCACUGGUAUCCGACCAGGGAGUCCAUCAAUUUCAUUCCUUUUUUACAAACAUACAUACAUUCUCACGCCUCCCCUGGUAUUCGACCAGGGAGAUUUUUUAUUAUAACAUCGUUUUAUCAAAUAAAAUUGU